Molecule: ribosomal RNA, 505 nt
Filed under: uncultured bacterium
Lineage: Bacteria
Description: partial 16S ribosomal RNA
Rfam family: Bacterial small subunit ribosomal RNA
Source: RNAcentral
GACGAACGCUGGCGGCGUGCCUAAUACAUGCAAGUAGAACGCACAGUUUAUACCGUAGCUUGCUACAUCAUAGACUGUGAGUUGCGAACGGGUGAGUAACGCGUAGGUAACCUGCCUGGUAGCGGGGGAUAACUAUUGGAAACGAUAGCUAAUACCGCAUAAUAUUGAUUAUUGCAUGAUAAUUGAUUGAAAGAUGCUAUUGCAUCACUACCAGAUGGACCUGCGUUGUAUUAGCUAGUAGGUGAGGUAACGGCUCACCUAGGCGACGAUACAUAGCCGACCUGAGAGGGUGAUCGGCCCAACUGGGACUGAGACACGGCCCAGACUCCUACGGGAGGCAGCAGUAGGGAAUCUUCGGCAAUGGACGAAAGUCUGACCGAGCAACGCCGCGUGAGUGAAGAAGGUUUUCGGAUCGUAAAGCUCUGUUGUAAGAGAAGAACGGGUGUGAGAGUGGAAAGUUCACACUGUGACGGUAUCUUACCAGAAAGGGACGGCUAACUACGUG